Molecule: ribosomal RNA, 466 nt
Filed under: Vreelandella stevensii
Lineage: Bacteria; Pseudomonadati; Pseudomonadota; Gammaproteobacteria; Oceanospirillales; Halomonadaceae
Description: partial 16S ribosomal RNA
Rfam family: Bacterial small subunit ribosomal RNA
Source: RNAcentral
CCCUACGGGGGGCUGCAGUGGGGAAUAUUGGACAAUGGGCGAAAGCCUGAUCCAGCCAUGCCGCGUGUGUGAAGAAGGCCUUCGGGUUGUAAAGCACUUUCAGUGGGGAAGAAAGCCUUGGGGCUAAUACCCUCGAGGAAGGACAUCACCCACAGAAGAAGCACCGGCUAACUCCGUGCCAGCAGCCGCGGUAAUACGGCGGGUGCGAGCGUUAAUCGGAAUUACUGGGCGUAAAGCGCGCGUAGGCGGUCUGAUAAGCCGGUUGUGAAAGCCCCGGGCUCAACCUGGGAACGGCAUCCGGAACUGUCAGGCUAGAGUGCAGGAGAGGAGGGUAGAAUUCCCGGUGUAGCGGUGAAAUGCGUAGAGAUCGGGAGGAAUACCAGUGGCGAAGGCGGCCUUCUGGCCUGACACUGACGCUGAGGUGCGAAAGCGUGGGUAGCAAACAGGAUUAGAUACCCGAGUAGUC